CUGGCUGUGGCCCACUGGUUAGCAUUUCAGACUUGUAACCGGAGGGUUGCCGGUUCGAACCCCGACCAGUAGA
RNAcentral lists this transfer RNA (73 nucleotides) under Alosa alosa (allis shad). RNAcentral's name for it is "tRNA-OTHER". The record is from RNAcentral. Lineage: Eukaryota; Metazoa; Chordata; Actinopteri; Clupeiformes; Clupeidae.